Molecule: ribosomal RNA, 465 nt
Filed under: uncultured bacterium
Lineage: Bacteria
Description: partial 16S ribosomal RNA
Rfam family: Bacterial small subunit ribosomal RNA
Source: RNAcentral
CCUACGGGGUGCAGCAGUAGGGAAUCUUCCACAAUGGGCGAAAGCCUGAUGGAGCAACGCAGCGUGCGUGAAGAAGGUCUUCGGAUCGUAAAACCCUGUUUUUAGAGAAGAAAGUGCGUGAGAGUAACUGUUCACGUUUCGACGGUAUCUAACCAGAAAGCCACUGCUAACUACGUGCCAGCAGCCGCGGUAAUACGUAGGUGGCAAGCGUUAUCCGGAUUUAUUGGGCGUAAAGGGAUCGCAGGCGGUUUUUUAAGUCUGAUGUGAAAGCCUUCGGCUUAACCGGAGUAGUGCAUUGGAAACUGGAAGACUAGAGGGCAAAAGAGGAGAGUGGAACUCCAUGUGAAGCGGUGAAAUGCGUAGAUAUAUGGAAGAACACCAGUGGCGAAAGCGGCUCUCUGGGCUGAAACUGACGCUGAGGUUCGAAAGCGUGGGGAGCAAACAGGAUUAGAUACCCUAGUAGUC